This 1389-nucleotide long non-coding RNA is filed under the name Monodelphis domestica (gray short-tailed opossum). RNAcentral's name for it is "lncRNA (ENSMODG00000036873.1)". Lineage: Eukaryota; Metazoa; Chordata; Mammalia; Didelphimorphia; Didelphidae. The record is from RNAcentral.
CUUGAGUCUGAAAGAGGUUAAUAGGCAAGAAAGGCAGAGGCAUAGAUGAGAGAAUAGCAAUAAACCAGGGAUGAAGGGAGCCCUGGUGACAAAAAGGACACGGGAUUCUCUCUGUGGUCAAGGAGAUGGCAGUGAGAGGGGUAAAUUCAUUCACUUACCCAUGGUCCUCUUUGGAGAGUGCAGUGCCAAGGGUGACAAGCCUCACCUGGCUGAGAUUGAAGUUUGUUUGGGCCCCAUUGUCACAGCAACAAGGGAAUGUUUGGUAACAAAGCCAGUGAUCUCACAGAAGCUUGUCAUAACCCCACCUUCUUGAAGCUCAGGGAAGAGCAGAGCCAUCCAGGAGAGAACUUGGAGGAAGAGGAAGACAAUAGUUUCCUUGGAAGAGCUGUGAGUACUAGAAAAGUACUUUCCUGCAAAGGAGGUCGAGAAAUUGAAGAAGACGAAAGAGAAGUCUUCAGCCAAAGGCUCGAGGAAUGCACCCGAGGAAAUACCAGGAGCCAAAAGCCUGGACCAGAUUUUCCUGCAACCAUGAAUCUGAAGAAGACACCUCCGAGAAAUCCGAAGGAGCCCCAAGAUCCUGGAUCCGGAUAAGUGUUGUUUCUCAUCAUUUUCAUUGACUAGAAACGUUUCUGUAGCAGACAUAAAACUGGCCAUUUUAUUUCCCCUGAGAAUUAUAUUUACCCUGAGCAAAGUCCCUUUAAGUAGAGAGCCUAGAAAGGACAGAGCUAUUCCCCAAAGUGAGUCGAAGUAGGAAAAGUUUAAAAUAGGAGAAUUUUACCUGGUUAAGAGGUUUAAAAGUAACAUCUGUUCAUUGGAGAAUUUGCAGCAGAGAUGCCAGAGUGCUAGUUUGUCUCAAAGUACUAUCAGAAGAAGUUAGGAGGAAUGACGGAGCCCAGAAAUGAUUGUUAGUAAUACAAGAUAAAUUUAUAUUCAAUCUGGAGCCUGGUUAGAGAAUUGCCAUCUAAUAGUGAAUUGUAUGGGAAGGUAAUUGGGAAAAAGAAAAGCUAUGGAGGAAAUUGGUUAGUGAUACAGUCACAAGGGCGAAUGGAAAGGCCGAGUUUAUGCCAAGUUCUACAGGUGACGCUGAUCAUGGCCAAUUCUCCCUCAUCUUCAGUUACUUCCCACUUUUCUUCUGUUAAUAGCAAAUUUUCUGUAUGAUGAAAGGAGCCUCAGGAAGGCAAGGCGUAGAAUAUGGGAAACGUGGAGGCAGAUAGAAAUUAUUAGCCAUUAUGAAUAAGUAAGCAAAUUCAAAGAGGUCCCUUUUCUUAAAAGAAGAGUUUAGGUCAUAAGGAAAACCUGGCAAAAUAUCAGUGCCAAAAGGGGGGAGGCCCAGCACAUAAAUAGUAGAUUCUAAGCAGCAGUUUUAAUAAACAAGGUUCUGAUAGAACA